Salmonella enterica subsp. arizonae is the source of this 158-nucleotide small RNA. It matches the Rfam family "Enterobacterial sRNA STnc410". The record is from Rfam. NCBI's taxonomy places the organism in Bacteria, Pseudomonadati, Pseudomonadota, Gammaproteobacteria, Enterobacterales, Enterobacteriaceae.
AGGACAAAACGCUCGAUCGCGGGGUUCCUCCGACGGCGAUGGCGACAUUUUCGACCAUUGACGCGGUAUUUGUCUUGUGAAAAGUCGCGCUAUACCUUGAUUAAAGCGUUAGGGUGAUGUUUUUGCUAUUUUUUUGAGCCAUGAAGUAAGAUUCGGCA